CUACGUGCCAGCAGCCGCGGUAAUACGUAGGGUGCGAGCGUUAAUCGGAAUUACUGGGCGUAAAGCGGGCGCAGACGGUUACUUAAGCAGGAUGUGAAAUCCCCGGGCUCAACCUGGGAACUGCGUUCUGAACUGGGUGACUAGAGUGUGUCAGAGGGAGGUAGAAUUCCACGUGUAGCAGUGAAAUGCGUAGAGAUGUGGAGGAAUACCGAUGGCGAAGGCAGCCUCCUGGGAUAACACUGACGUUCAUGCCCGAAAGCGUGGGUAGCAAACAGGAUUAGAUACCCUGGUAGUCCACGCCCUAAACGAUGUCAAUUAGCUGUUGGGCAACUUGAUUGCUUAGUAGCGUAGCUAACGCGUGAAAUUGACCGCCUGGGGAGUACGGUCGCAAGAUUAAAACUCAAAGGAAUUGACGGGGACCCGCACAAGCGGUGGAUGAUGUGGAUUAAUUCGAUGCAACGCGAAGAACCUUACCUGGUCUUGACAU
Molecule: ribosomal RNA, 487 nt
Filed under: uncultured bacterium
Lineage: Bacteria
Description: bacterial SSU rRNA
Rfam family: Bacterial small subunit ribosomal RNA
Source: RNAcentral